UACGAAGGGUGCAAGCGUUAAUCGGAAUUACUGGGCGUAAAGCGCGCGUAGGUGGUUCAGUAAGUUGGAUGUGAAAUCCCCGGGCUCAACCUGGGAACUGCUUUCAAAACUGCUGAGCUAGAGUAUGGUAGAGGGUGGUGGAAUUUCCUGUGUAGCGGUGAAAUGCGUAGAUAUAGGAAGGAACACCAGUGGCGAAGGCGACCACCUGGACUGAUACUGACACUGAGGUGCGAAAGCGUGGGGAGCAAACAGG
Molecule: ribosomal RNA, 253 nt
Filed under: uncultured bacterium
Lineage: Bacteria
Description: partial 16S ribosomal RNA
Rfam family: Bacterial small subunit ribosomal RNA
Source: RNAcentral